AUGGGAUCCCUGGGGCUGGAUCAGUGGGAUGGGAUCCCUGGGGCGGGAUCAGUGGGAUGGGAUCCCUGGGGCUGGAUCAGUGGGAUGGGNAGUGGGAUGGGGUCAGUGGGAUGGGAUCCCUGGGGCUGGAUCAGUGGGAUGGGAUCAGUGGGAUGGGGUCAGUGGGAUGGGAUCCCUGGGGCUGGAUCAGUGGGAUGGGAUCCCUGGGGCUGUAUCAGUGGGAUGGGGUCAGUGGGAUGGGGUCCCUGGGGCUGGAUCAGUGGGAUGGGAUCCCUGGGGCUGGAUCAGUGGGAUGGGAUCAGUGGGAUGGGGUCAGUGGGAUGGGGUCCCUGGGGCUGGAUCAGUGGGAUGGGAUCAGUGGGAUCCCUGGGGCUGGAUCAGUGGGGUGGGAUGGGGUCAGUGGGAUGGGGUCCCUGGGGCUGGAUCAGUGGGAUGGGAUCCCUGGGGUGUGCUGGGGACAGGAUGGGAGCAGCUGCGUGUCAGGCUGGUGGCCUUGGACGCGCACUGAGGACGCGCACUGGGGACAAGCGGUACUGCACGCUGGAAAACGCUGGAACACGGUUGUUUUUCCUGUCCAACUCUUAUCAGUCGAUCUGGAGAGAGAUUCGCUCUCCCCGCAGAGCUGUCAGAGGGAUGGCAUGUUUCCAGGGAGUAGUUUCCUGGCUUUAUAGCGGUAGAGGAAGCGCUGUCAGAGUCACCGCAGUGUCACUGCCGGCAGUGGGAACAGCCCCGGUCCCAGCUGUGCACAUCUCCCUCCAGGAGAGAAGGAGCAGGUACCAGCCACAAACCUUUCCAUGCUGGGACAAGCCAACUUCCACAGCCCUCCAGCUUCCACCAUGUCCCCAGGAGUGUUCUGAGUCCAGCUGCACCUACUGGUCACAUGCAAUGUGUUGGACCUGUCUUCAGUGCCCUUCAGAUGGAUGUUUGUGGAGAUUUCUGUUCCCUGCUUUUCUGAGGGCAUUCAUUCAUUCUACAGUGAAAUGCUCUUGGACAGUGGAGUCCAGCAAAUCCCAGUUCCUCAGGGCCGGGGGUGAAUUCAGAACUCAUCACCCAGGGAAGUGA
Molecule: long non-coding RNA, 1062 nt
Filed under: Parus major (Great Tit)
Lineage: Eukaryota; Metazoa; Chordata; Aves; Passeriformes; Paridae
Description: lncRNA (ENSPMJG00000018983.1)
Source: RNAcentral